UACGUAGGGGCCGAGCGUUGUCCGGAGUUACUGGGCGUAAAGCGCGCGCAGGCGGCUCGUCAAGCCUGACGUGAAAGCCCCCGGCUCAACCGGGGAGGGUCGUCGGGGACUGGCGGGCUUGAGGUCGGCAGGGGUUGGUGGAAUUCCCGGUGUAGUGGUGAAAUGCGUAGAGAUCGGGAGGAACACCCGUGGCGAAGGCGGCAUCCUGGACCGGCAUUGACGCUGAGGAGCGAAAGCCAGGGGAGCAAACGGG
This 253-nucleotide ribosomal RNA is filed under the name uncultured bacterium. RNAcentral's name for it is "partial 16S ribosomal RNA". It matches the Rfam family "Bacterial small subunit ribosomal RNA", at positions 524 to 776 of the family's 1533-position model. The record is from RNAcentral.